GGCGGCCGCGGGAAUUCGAUUAGAGUUUGAUCAUGGCUCAGAUUGAACGCUGGCGGCAUGCCUACACAUGCAAGUCGAACGGUAACGCGGGGCAACCCUGGCGACGAGUGGCGGACGGGUGAGUAAUACGUAGGAAUCUACCCUGUAGUGGGGGAUAACCCGGCGAAAGCCGGGCUAAUACCGCAUACGCUCUACGGAGGAAAGCGGGGGAUCGCAAGACCUCGCGCUAAAGGAUGAGCCUACGUCGGAUUAGCUAGUUGGUAGGGUAACGGCCUACCAAGGCGACGAUCCGUAGCUGGUCUGAGAGGACGAUCAGCCACACUGGGACUGAGACACGGCCCAGACUCCUACGGGAGGCAGCAGUGGGGAAUUUUGGACAAUGGGGGCAACCCUGAUCCAGCCAUGCCGCGUGAGUGAAGAAGGCCUUCGGGUUGUAAAGCUCUUUCGGACGGAACGAAAUGGUUACGGUGAAUAUCCGUGACUGAUGACGGUACCGUAAUAAGAAGCACCGGCUAACUACGUGCCAGCAGCCGCGGUAUACAAUCACUAGUGAAUUCGCGGCGCCUGCAGGUCGACCAUAUGGGAGAGCUCCC
RNAcentral lists this ribosomal RNA (593 nucleotides) under uncultured Alphaproteobacteria bacterium. RNAcentral describes it as "partial 16S ribosomal RNA". It matches the Rfam family "Bacterial small subunit ribosomal RNA", at positions 1 to 597 of the family's 1533-position model. Lineage: Bacteria; Pseudomonadati; Pseudomonadota; Alphaproteobacteria. The record is from RNAcentral.